Molecule: ribosomal RNA, 459 nt
Filed under: uncultured bacterium
Lineage: Bacteria
Description: partial 16S ribosomal RNA
Rfam family: Bacterial small subunit ribosomal RNA
Source: RNAcentral
CCUACGGGAGGCAGCAGUGAGGAAUAUUGGUCAAUGGGCGGAAGCCUGAACCAGCCAAGUAGCGUGCGGGAUGACGGCUCUACGGGUCGUAAACCGCUUUUGCACGGGGAUAACACCCUCCACGUGUGGCGGUCUGCAGGUACCGUGCGAAUAAGGGCCGGCUAAUUCCGUGCCAGCAGCCGCGGUAAUACGGAGGGUCCGAGCGUUAUCCGGAUUCAUUGGGCUUAAAGGGGGCGUAGGCGGUCGUUCAAGUCAGCUGUAAAAUCGCGCGGCUCAACCCGGCCCCGCAGUUGAAACUGGACGACUUGAGUUCACAACAGGCAGGCGGAAUGCGUGGUGUAGCGGUGAAAUGCAUAGAGAUCACGAGGAACCCCGAUUGCGAAGGCAGCCUGCCGGGGUGCGACUGACGCUGAGGCACGAAGGUGCGGGUAGCAAACAGGAUUAGAUACCCGAGUAGUC